AAAUUGAAGAGUUUGAUCAUGGCUCAGAUUGAACGCUGGCGGCAGGCCUAACACAUGCAAGUCGAGCGGUAACACAGAGAGCUUGCUCUCGGGUGACGAGCGGCGGACGGGUGAGUAAUGUCUGGGAAACUGCCUGAUGGAGGGGGAUAACUACUGGAAACGGUAGCUAAUACCGCAUAACGUCGCAAGACCAAAGAGGGGGACCUUCGGGCCUCUUGCCAUC
This 223-nucleotide ribosomal RNA is filed under the name Enterobacter hormaechei. RNAcentral's name for it is "partial 16S ribosomal RNA". It matches the Rfam family "Bacterial small subunit ribosomal RNA", at positions 1 to 222 of the family's 1533-position model. The record is from RNAcentral. RNAcentral also lists the same sequence under 2 other names. Lineage: Bacteria; Pseudomonadati; Pseudomonadota; Gammaproteobacteria; Enterobacterales; Enterobacteriaceae.